GUAUACUUUAAAUCAUCCCUAGAUUACUUAUAAUAUCUAAUGAAGUGUAAAUACUGUGCAAAUAGUUGUUAUACUGUGUUUAGAAAAUAAUGACAAGAAAAAAUGUUUGUACAUGUUCAAUGCAGACAUAACUACCUUUUUUAUUUUUAAAAUACAUUUGAUCUGUAGUUGGUUGAAUCCACUGAUAGAGAACUCAUAGAUAAGAAGGACCAACUGUAUAUGCAAGACAAACAUACUGGAUCAGUGUCUUAAAGAACAAAGGCAAUUCAAUAUUAUCUCUGGAGUGCUAAAAGAUAUUUACAGUUGUCAAGUUUUAAGUGAAAAAUUUUUACUCUUCAGAGUCAUGAUGAACAGUGAGGUUUUUAAACGGCAUAAAUGUUACAGGAAUCAUCUAAUUAUGGAAGUUAAUCCAUUGUUGUACAAAGACUUGGAAAAAUGUGAAAGUGAAAAAACAAAUGUGACUUACUUCCCAAAACACUUUACAAAAAAAUAAUUGAAAUAAUGAGUGAGUAUGUGCAAAAUGAAGUGGUAAAAUAAACACCAUAUAUUAUUCCACUAAUAUGGAUUCUACACUGGAUGUGACACACUGAACACUUGGUAAUGGUGCAAAAUUGUUACCAAAAAAUUAUGAGUCAUUUAAAAUUUUUUCCAAAUAAAAAUAAUGUGUUAAUUUCUUCAACCAGUGAAAUAUGUUCUGGGCAAUUGUAAACUGCCAUGGGAAAACAUUUGCCAUUGGUUAUGUGAUAACAUAGCAGUUAUGAGAGAUGAGGACUAUGUGAACUCUUUAAAAACAUGAAUAUAUUAACAUGUGUUGCUUCUUUCCUUCAUUUCAUCAGAUUAAAAAUUGCUUCUCAGGAUGAGAAGUCAUUAAUUACUUUGUUAUUUUGCAACGAUUUUUUUAAUAGGCUUUAACUUUUAGAGCAGCUUUAGGCUCACAGCAAAAUUGAACUGAAGAUACAUAUUUCCCACAUCCCCGCUCCCCUACACCUGCACAGCCUCCCCCGUUAUCAACAUUCCCCACCAGAGUGGCACAUUUGUUACAAUUGAUGAAUCUGCAUUAAGAAGUCAUUAUCACCCAGAGUCCAUAGUUUUUACAGGGUUCAUUCUUCGUACUGUACUGUCUAUCGGUUUGGAUAAACUUACAACAGGUACCCACCAUUAUACUGUCAUACAGAAUAGUUUCAGUGCCCUAAGAAUCCUCUGUGCUCUGCCUAUUCAUCCCCUCCUCUCCUCAAUCUUUUGCAACCACUGACUGUUAUUUUUACUGUCUCCAAAGUUUUUCUUUUUCCAGAGUAUCAUAUAAUUGGAAUCAUAUAGUAUGUAACAUUUUCAGAUUGUCUUCUUUCACUUAGUAAUACGCAUUUAAGAUUACUUCAUGUCUUUUCAUAUCUUGAUAGCUCAUUUCUCUUUGUCACUGAAUAAUAUUCAGUUGUCUACAUGUACCACAGUUUAUCCAUUCACCUACUGAAGAACAUCUUGGUUGCUUCCAAAUUUUGGCAUUUAUUAAUAAAGUUGCUGUAGACAUUCACGUUCAGGUUUUUGUGUGGACCUAAGUUUUCAACUCCCUUGGGUAAAUAUCAAAAAGUGUGAUCACUAGAUUAUACAGUUAGUGUAUUGUUUAGUUUUGUAAGAAACUGACAAACUGACCUCUGUAGUGUCUGUACCAGUCUUCAUUCUGUAAGCAAUGAAUGAGAGUUCCAGUUGUUCUACUUCCUUGUCAGCAUUUGGUAUUGUCAAUGUUCUAGAUUUUGGCCAUUAUAAUAGGUAGGUAGUGGUAUUUCAUUGUUGUUUUAAUUUGCAUUUCCCUGAUGACAUAUGAUAUGAAGCAGAUUUUCAUGUUUAUUUGCUGUGUAUAUUUGGUUAGGUGUCUAUUAAGGUCUUUGAUCCAUUUUUUAAUGAAGAUGUUCAUUUUCUUAUUCUUGAGUUUUAAAAGUUCUUUGUAUAUUUUGGAUAUCAGUUUUUAAUCAGAUACAUCUUUACAAAUAAUUUCUCCCAGUCUGGGGCUUGUG
RNAcentral lists this long non-coding RNA (2009 nucleotides) under Homo sapiens (human). Its description in RNAcentral is "HSALNT0335257". The record is from RNAcentral. Lineage: Eukaryota; Metazoa; Chordata; Mammalia; Primates; Hominidae.